GGAACUUGUACUCGUUGCGGUGCAACGAUGACUAAAGA
This 38-nucleotide non-coding RNA is filed under the name Brachyspira pilosicoli. Its description in RNAcentral is "Selenocysteine insertion sequence 4". It matches the Rfam family "Selenocysteine insertion sequence 4". Lineage: Bacteria; Pseudomonadati; Spirochaetota; Spirochaetia; Brachyspirales; Brachyspiraceae. The record is from RNAcentral.